UGGGUGACAGAUUUUUGUUGUUGAUUUAAUCCAUUUUGAAUUCAGGCUGUGGAAUAAGUCAAGGGGUCGGAAUACUUUCUGAAGCCCAAAGCUUUUGGGGAAGACUGUGCCCAAGUCAUCUUCACUGGUAGUGCUAGUAUGACAGCUGUCACUUUCUUCACAUGUUCCUCGCUCACAAGCCUUACCAGUUCUUGAUAUUGUGAACUCUGUCCCUCAUAAACACAAUUGACCACCCUAUUGACAACAUCUUAGCCAGCUGUGCCAGCUAAUCGGCCAAUCAAUGUGCUUGUAUAGAACGUCUGACUGAUAGACAAUGGUUGUCAGGUUGGUUGUCAGGUGCCAUUUCCAUCUGGAUUUUGUGGGAAUUGAAGUCCUUUUGUUUUCACACUUUUCUUGAAAUACCAACAACAUCCAUCCAUUAACACCUCUACGGUGAAAUUCCUCGCUACCCUUCUACCAGGUCAAUACCUGGCCACUGCGUUGAGGAAAAAUCAAUGUGAGACGGUAGAAAUGGCUUAGGCAUGAUGCGAUUGCUCAUUCAAAGCACACAGGACGAGAAACAGGGAGAGAGCAGAGAGAGAUGGAGAGGGGAGAGAGAGAGAGAUAGAGAGAGAAAGACAGAGAGAGAGAGGGUGAGAGAGAGAGACAGAGAGAGAGAGAGAAAGAUAGAGGAGAGAGAGAGAGAGAAAGACAGAGAGAGAGAGAAAGAGAGAGAGAGGGCGAGAGAGAGAGAGAGAGAGAGAGAGAGAGAAAGACAGAGAGGGCGAGAGAGAGAGAAAGAGAGGACGAGAGAGAGAGGGCGAGAGAGAGAAAGAGAGGACGAGAGAGAGAGAGAGGGUGAGAGAGAGAGAGAGAGAGAGAAAGAUAGAGAGAGAGAGAGAAAGACAGAGAGAGAGAGGGCGAGAGAGAGAGAAAGAGAGGACGAGAGAGAGAGGGCGAGAGAGAGAGAAAGAUAGAGGAGAGAGAGAGAGAGAUUGUGGGGUUAGAGAGAGAAAGAGAGAACGAACUGUACCUUAGAAACAUUGCAUCACCUGAUGAGUCAGGUGUCUCUUCUCUUCUCUCACAUCAUAGCCCAGAAAAAGAAGAGAAGGUUUGGAGAGGAGAGGGAAAUGGUGAAGGCGAAAUGAAAGCUCUUCAAACACAAGACAGGGAGAGGGAAGGAGAAGAUUGCUGUCAGUUUGUUAUCCUACUGCACAGUAUAUUUACCUGGAGACAUUGACAUUGUUCAGUGAGACGGAAACAAAACAACCACAUAUGAAGUAUUCAGCAUCUGUCUAUGCUGCUGUUCUACCACGUCAAUACGAGGUGCCUGCUCUAUAUUCUACCACCAACCUCCAAUAAUGAGGAGAGGGGCUGAUGCUAGAAUUACAACUGAUGCGGUGGAUAGAGAGAUUUGGCGCAGAGGGAGAGAUGGAGGGAGCGUUAAGAGAGAGAGAGAGAGAGAGAGAUGAGAUGGAGGGAGGGAGGGUUGAGGGAGAGAGAGAGGGAGGGUUGAGAGAGAGAGAGAGAGAUGGAGGGAGGGUUAUGAGAGAGAGAGCGAGAGGGAGGGUUAAGAGAGAGAGAGAGAUGGAAGAGAGAGAGAGAGAGAGAGAGGGUUAAGAGAGAGAGAGAGAUGGAGGGAGGGUUAAGAGAGAGAGAUGGAGGGAGGGUUAAGAGAGAGAGAGAGAUGAAGGGAGGGUUG
Molecule: long non-coding RNA, 1681 nt
Filed under: Salmo salar (Atlantic salmon)
Lineage: Eukaryota; Metazoa; Chordata; Actinopteri; Salmoniformes; Salmonidae
Description: lncRNA (ENSSSAG00000107827.1)
Source: RNAcentral